GACGAACGCUGGCGGCGUGCUUAACACAUGCAAGUCGAACGGAAAGGCCCUGCUUUUGUGGGGUGCUCGAGUGGCGAACGGGUGAGUAACACGUGAGUAACCUGCCCUUGACUUUGGGAUAACUUCAGGAAACUGGGGCUAAUACCGGAUAGGAGCUCCUGCUGCAUGGUGGGGGUUGGAAAGUUUCGGCGGUUGGGGAUGGACUCGCGGCUUAUCAGCUUGUUGGUGGGGUAGUGGCUUACCAAGGCUUUGACGGGUAGCCGGCCUGAGAGGGUGACCGGCCACAUUGGGACUGAGAUACGGCCCAGACUCCUACGGGAGGCAGCAGUGGGGAAUAUUGCACAAUGGGCGGAAGCCUGAUGCAGCAACGCCGCGUGCGGGAUGACGGCCUUCGGGUUGUAAACCGCUUUCGCCUGUGACGAAGCGUUAGUGACGGUAAUUGGUAAAGAAGCACCGGCUAACUACGUG
RNAcentral lists this ribosomal RNA (468 nucleotides) under uncultured bacterium. Its description in RNAcentral is "partial 16S ribosomal RNA". It matches the Rfam family "Bacterial small subunit ribosomal RNA", at positions 28 to 507 of the family's 1533-position model. The record is from RNAcentral.